RNAcentral lists this ribosomal RNA (282 nucleotides) under uncultured bacterium. Its description in RNAcentral is "partial 16S ribosomal RNA". It matches the Rfam family "Bacterial small subunit ribosomal RNA", at positions 542 to 823 of the family's 1533-position model. The record is from RNAcentral.
UGUCCGGAUUUACUGGGUGUAAAGGGUGCGUAGGCGGCUUUGCAAGUCAGAUGUGAAAUCUAUGGGCUCAACCCAUAAACUGCAUUUGAAACUGUAGAGCUUGAGUGAAGUAGAGGCAGGCGGAAUUCCCCGUGUAGCGGUGAAAUGCGUAGAGAUGGGGAGGAACACCAGUGGCGAAGGCGGCCUGCUGGGCUUUAACUGACGCUGAGGCACGAAAGCGUGGGUAGCAAACAGGAUUAGAUACCCUGGUAGUCCACGCUGUAAACGAUGAUCACUAGGUGU